Molecule: ribosomal RNA, 253 nt
Filed under: uncultured bacterium
Lineage: Bacteria
Also listed under: 1 other name
Description: partial 16S ribosomal RNA
Rfam family: Bacterial small subunit ribosomal RNA
Source: RNAcentral
UACAGAGGGGGCAAGCGUUAUUCGGAAUUAUUGGGCGUAAAGGGCGCGUAGGCGGUUUGUUAAGUCAGAUGUGUAAUCCCCGAGCUCAACUUGGGAACUGCAUCUGAGACUGGCAGGCUAGAGUACUGGAGAGGGUGGUGGAAUUCCUCGUGUAGCGGUGAAAUGCGUAGAGAUGAGGAGGAACACCAGUGGCGAAGGCGGCCACCUGGACAGUAACUGACGCUGAGGCGCGAAAGUGUGGGUAGCAAACAGG